RNAcentral lists this ribosomal RNA (695 nucleotides) under uncultured bacterium. RNAcentral describes it as "bacterial SSU rRNA". It matches the Rfam family "Bacterial small subunit ribosomal RNA", at positions 32 to 715 of the family's 1533-position model. The record is from RNAcentral. RNAcentral also lists the same sequence under 1 other name.
AACGCUAGCUACAGGCUUAACACAUGCAAGUCGAGGGGCAGCAUUUUAGUUUGCUUGCAAACUGAAGAUGGCGACCGGCGCACGGGUGAGUAACACGUAUCCAACCUACCGAUAACUCCGGAAUAGCCUUUCGAAAGAAAGAUUAAUACCGGAUAGCAUACGAAUAUCGCAUGAUAUUUUUAUUAAAGAAUUUCGGUUAUCGAUGGGGAUGCGUUCCAUUAGUUUGUUGGCGGGGUAACGGCCCACCAAGACUACGAUGGAUAGGGGUUCUGAGAGGAAGGUCCCCCACAUUGGAACUGAGACACGGUCCAAACUCCUACGGGAGGCAGCAGUGAGGAAUAUUGGUCAAUGGGCGAGAGCCUGAACCAGCCAAGUAGCGUGAAGGAUGAAGGCUCUAUGGGUCGUAAACUUCUUUUAUAUGGGAAUAAAGUUUUCCACGUGUGGAAUUUUGUAUGUACCAUAUGAAUAAGGAUCGGCUAACUCCGUGCCAGCAGCCGCGGUAAUACGGAGGAUCCGAGCGUUAUCCGGAUUUAUUGGGUUUAAAGGGAGCGUAGGUGGAUUGUUAAGUCAGUUGUGAAAGUUUGCGGCUCAACCGUAAAAUUGCAGUUGAAACUGGCAGUCUUGAGUACAGUAGAGGUGGGCGGAAUUCGUGGUGUAGCGGUGAAAUGCUUAGAUAUCACGAAGAACUCCGAUUG